AGAGUUUGAUCCUGGCUCAGAAUCAACGCUGGCGGCGUGCCUAACACAUGCAAGUCGAACGAGAAAGUGGAGCAAUCCAUGAGUAAAGUGGCGCACGGGUGAGUAACACGUGACUAACCUACCUUUUAGUGGGGGAUAACCUAGGGAAACCUGGGCUAAUACCGCAUAAUACCUACGGGUCAAAGCAGCAAUGCGCUGGAAGAGGGGGUCGCGGUCGAUUAGUUAGUUGGCAGGGUAAUGGCCUACCAAGACUGUGAUCGAUAUCCGGCCUGAGAGGGCGCACGGACACACUGGAACUGAAACACGGUCCAGACUCCUACGGGAGGCAGCAGUGGGGAAUUUUGCGCAAUGGGGGAAACCCUGACGCAGCAACGCCGCGUGGAGGAUGAAGUCCCUUGGGACGUAAACUCCUUUCGAUCGGGACGAUAAUGACGGUACCGGAAGAAGAAGCCCCGGCUAACUUCGUGCCAGCAGCCGCGGUAAUACGAGGGGGGCAAGCGUUGUUCGGAAUUAUUGGGCGUAAAGGGUGCGUAGGUGGUUCGGCAAGUCUUGUGUGAAAUCUUCAGGCUCAACUUGAAGUCUGCACAAGAAACUGCCGGGCUUGAGUAUGGGAGAGGUGAGUGGAAUUUCCGGUGUAGCGGUGAAAUGCGUAGAUAUCGGAAGGAACACCUGUGGCGAAAGCGGCUCACUGGACCAUUACUGACACUGAGGCACGAAAGCUAGGGG
This 726-nucleotide ribosomal RNA is filed under the name uncultured bacterium. Its description in RNAcentral is "bacterial SSU rRNA". It matches the Rfam family "Bacterial small subunit ribosomal RNA", at positions 8 to 766 of the family's 1533-position model. The record is from RNAcentral.